AAGAGACAGCAGUAGCCGCGGUAAUACAGAGGGUGCGAGCGUUAAUCGGAUUUACUGGGCGUAAAGCGUGCGUAGGCGGCUUUUUAAGUCGGAUGUGAAAUCCCUGAGCUUAACUUAGGAAUUGCAUUCGAUACUGGGAAGCUAGAGUAUGGGAGAGGAUGGUAGAAUUCCAGGUGUAGCGGUGAAAUGCGUAGAGAUCUGGAGGAAUACCGAUGGCGAAGGCAGCCAUCUGGCCUAAUACUGACGCUGAGGUACGAAAGCAUGGGGAGCAAACAGGAUUAGAGACCCGCGUAGUCCCUGUCUCUUAUAC
Molecule: ribosomal RNA, 310 nt
Filed under: uncultured bacterium
Lineage: Bacteria
Description: partial 16S ribosomal RNA
Rfam family: Bacterial small subunit ribosomal RNA
Source: RNAcentral